RNAcentral lists this ribosomal RNA (407 nucleotides) under Ameerega cainarachi (Cainarachi poison frog). RNAcentral's name for it is "partial 16S ribosomal RNA". It matches the Rfam family "Bacterial large subunit ribosomal RNA", at positions 1980 to 2540 of the family's 2925-position model. Lineage: Eukaryota; Metazoa; Chordata; Amphibia; Anura; Dendrobatidae. The record is from RNAcentral.
AUGAGGACUAGUAUGAAUGGCCCCACGAGGGCUGCACUGUCUCCUUUUUCCAAUCAAUGAAACUAAUCUCCCCGUGAAGAAGCGGGGAUAACUCUAUAAGACGAGAAGACCCUAUGGAGCUUUAAACAACUGAAACAUUUGCUUCUCCCCUGACCUCUCCUGAGUUCUUUAUUUUACUUAAGCAUUUUUAUUUCUAGUUUUAGGUUGGGGUGACCGCGGAGCAAAACUAAACCUCCAUGAAGAAUGAAUAUUUUUUAAGCCACAAACUACUUUUUUAAGCAUCAACAAAUUGACCUUCAUUGACCCAAUAUAUUGAUCAACGAACCAAGUUACCCUAGGGAUAACAGCGCAAUCUACUUCAAGAGCUCAUAUCGACAAGUAGGUUUACGACCUCGAUGUUGGAUCAG